AAAUAAUCCGGAUGGGCUUAGUGCUUGUGAUGUUACUGAUGGACCCAGCUAAGCCCAUAUCCCAUAGCCUCUGGCAUUAAACAGCACAGAAUUACUUGCAACCGUGUCUAUCCCAAACCCUAGCCGUGAAUUCGCCUCCGCUUCGAAGAUGCAGAUCUUCGUGAAAACCCUAACGGGGAAAACCAUUACCCUGGAGGUGGAGUCGUCUGAUACCAUCGACAAUGUCAAAGCCAAGAUCCAGGAUAAGGAGGGUAUCCCGCCGGACCAGCAGCGCCUCAUCUUCGCCGGAAAGCAGCUAGAAGAUGGACGCACCCUUGCCGACUACAACAUCCAGAAGGAGUCCACCCUUCAUCUCGUACUCCGUCUCCGCGGAGGCGCUAAGAAGCGCAAGAAGAAGACGUACACCAAGCCAAAGAAGAUCAAGCACAAGCACAAGAAGGUCAAGCUCGCCGUCCUCCAGUUCUACAAGGUUGAUGACUCUGGCAAGGUCCAGAGGCUGCGCAAGGAGUGUCCCAACGCUGAGUGCGGUGCUGGAACUUUUAUGGCCAAUCAUUUUGACAGGCACUAUUGUGGUAAGUGUGGGCUUACCUAUGUCUACAAUAAGGCCGGUAAUGAUUGAGAAACUGAGUUAUCUCCGUGGGAAUUCUUGUUUUCUGCUGUUUUGAUUGUCCCAAUCGCUCUUUGCCGAUUAUGAUUUGAAUCUUUACUAUGAAUUUUUGGUUUAGGCAAUAUGUUUAAGACAUUAAAUGUGUUUUAGUUUAGUUUACAGUUAAUGGAUAAUUGCUAUUACUUUUAACAGUAUCUUUCAUGUGAUGAAAUUUUGAAUUCUGUUUGUUGGAUUAAAUUUUAAUAUCUUGGAACGGUUUUAGAGACAUUUGGUUGUUAUUGCUUUGCCUUGGUUAAUGAUAGUGAUGGAACAACUUGGAAGUUCCAUAGCAAUGAAAAAUUAAAGUAAUUGGACAUAAUUCUGAAUAAAUGGGUGCUUGCUUAUUCCUAAAUUUUUUGUACAUCAAAUACAGUAGUACAACCUUUUCUUGAGAAUGAUGAACGUGCUACUAUCGUGGUGUAAUUUUUGAUGCAUUAAUGGAGAUUUGUAGAAUCAUCAUUCAAGAGAAACAUGA
RNAcentral lists this long non-coding RNA (1121 nucleotides) under Olea europaea subsp. europaea. The record is from RNAcentral. Lineage: Eukaryota; Viridiplantae; Streptophyta; Magnoliopsida; Lamiales; Oleaceae.